ACUUGAGGUGGGUUUUUAGUACGUAUGCGUGAUUACUUCGUAAUCAUGAAUCGUGCAUGCUAGUGGGGUUUGGCCUCCACUAGUAUCUUUGAAGAUUUUCCUUCCUCAGCGAUC
This is a non-coding RNA of Drosophila persimilis, 114 nucleotides long. NCBI's taxonomy places the organism in Eukaryota, Metazoa, Arthropoda, Insecta, Diptera, Drosophilidae. The record is from Rfam.